UACAGAGGGUGCAAGCGUUAAUCGGAAUUACUGGGCGUAAAGGGUGCGUAGGUGGUUGAAUAAGUUAGGUGUGAAAGUCCUGGGCUUAACCUGGGGAUUGCGCCUAAUACUGUUUAGCUAGAGUACUGUAGAGGAAGGUGGAAUUUCCAGUGUAGCGGUGAAAUGCGUAGAUAUCGGGAGGAACACCUGUGGCGAAAGCGGCUCACUGGACCACAACUGACGCUGAGGCGCGAAAGCUAGGGGAGCAAACAGG
Molecule: ribosomal RNA, 253 nt
Filed under: uncultured bacterium
Lineage: Bacteria
Description: partial 16S ribosomal RNA
Rfam family: Bacterial small subunit ribosomal RNA
Source: RNAcentral